Molecule: unclassified non-coding RNA, 325 nt
Filed under: uncultured fungus
Lineage: Eukaryota; Fungi
Description: partial contains 5.8S ribosomal RNA and internal transcribed spacer 2
Rfam family: 5.8S ribosomal RNA (bases 1-133)
Source: RNAcentral
UGGUUCUGGCAUCGAUGAAGAACGCAGCGAAAUGCGAUAAGUAAUGUGAAUUGCAGAAUUCAGUGAAUCAUCGAAUCUUUGAACGCACAUUGCGCCCGCCAGCAUUCUGGCGGGCAUGCCUGUUCGAGCGUCAUUUCAACCCUCAAGCUCUGCUUGGUGUUGGGGCCCUACAGCUGAUGUAGGCCCUCAAAGGUAGUGGCGGACCCUCCCGGAGCCUCCUUUGCGUAGUAACUUUACGUCUCGCACUGGGAUCCGGAGGGACUCUUGCCGUAAAACCCCCAAUUUUCCAAAGGUUGACCUCGGAUCAGGUAGGAAUACCCGCUGA